CAAUAUGCAGUUGCUUUGGGUCCUGCACCAACAUGUGCAGGCUAGAGGGAAACCGGUGAAAAACCGGUACUGCCCCCGCAACUGUAAGCGGCAAGCCAAGCUCCGUUGCCACUGACGCAUCCGCGUCGGGAAGGGGAUCUUGGCGCUUGAGCCGCGAAGUCAGGAGACCUGCCUGAAGCGUGAGAAACGA
This 190-nucleotide non-coding RNA is filed under the name Thioclava dalianensis. The record is from RNAcentral. Lineage: Bacteria; Pseudomonadati; Pseudomonadota; Alphaproteobacteria; Rhodobacterales; Paracoccaceae.